This is a long non-coding RNA of Cygnus olor (mute swan), 1073 nucleotides long. RefSeq lists it as uncharacterized. The record is from RefSeq and is a predicted model, not a curated record. The transcript has 2 exons. Lineage: Eukaryota; Metazoa; Chordata; Aves; Anseriformes; Anatidae.
CUCCCGGCAGCCCCCGCGCGGGGGGCGGGGGGGGUGAGGUGAGGUGAGGUAAGGUGAGGGGAUGAGAUGGCGGCGGCGGAGCCCCCCGCGCCCGGCCCCGUGUUCGCCGUCGCGGUUCGGCGGCCGCGCCUCGGGUGCCGGUGCCCUCGGGUGCUGUAAGCACAGGGCGGCGCCUCCCCGAGGGACGGCGGGGCUGCUGCGGGGGCACUGGGCUCCAAUCUCCGCCUCUUAGCGACGUGCUGGCAGGCCGGGGCGCACCGCUCAGCCGUCUGACCGGGGGGCUGCGCCUGCGGCCCUGCGCGGUCCGCGGCUUCCUCCGGCGUCGGGAAUAGAAGGCAGAGGAGGUGACUGCGGUUCUGUGACCGCUCAGCCGCAGCCACCGUCGCAGGGUCCCCAUCACGGCAGGAAGAACAUCAGCAGAUCAUCCAGGGGGAGGGAUCCAGAUCUGGCUGCUGCAGAUGGGUAAGAAGGUGAUCCACACUGCCAGGCAAGCAUCCCAGCAUCCUUUAUACGUGACACAUAAAGGAUUCACUUAAUUAUCCCACGGUAAUUCCCGGUUUUACCCACAGGAGGUCACACUUUGCCAGGCUUAUCAGCUUUUGAUGCAACCAGCCUUGUGCAAACGGCAUUGCUGCGGGACCAGCAAAGCCAGAGUUUUAGUAGCCCAGCUCAGGGUUUGGCCUAAUCCCUUCUGCACAUCCUGGACUUCUCUGACAAUGCUCCGACCACUCUCCUACCUCCCUGUAAGGGUGCCAGCCCCUCUCCAAAGCUGUUGCACACCCACGGGGACAGCUUUCCCACCUGAUGGCCCAUUCCACCUCCUCAGUGUUUCCUUGUUUUUUUAUUUUCAUUUUCCUUUUCCCUUUUCUUUUCCCCAUCCAGCCACCCAGUCCCUCUGUCGCCACUGACAGAAAGACUCCGUUACAUCCACACAUGCCUAGACCAUAACCCUAGUAUGGUUUCAUAAGAAAAUGAGGUAUGUCCAACUGCAUGCGUUUCUGUUCAAAUACGUUUCAGGAAAAUGAAUGGUAAGGUGGCAGAGCAUCGCCAUGCAAAUAAAUGGUUCAGCAUCA